CGAGUGGCGGACGGGUGAGUAAUGUCUAGGGAAACUGCCGAUGGAGGGGGAUAACUACUGGAAACGGUAGCUAAUACCGCAUAACGUCGCAAGACCAAAGAGGGGGACCUUAGGGCCUCUUGCCAUCGGAUGUGCCCAGAUGGGAUUAGCUAGUAGGUGGGGUAACGGCUCACCUAGGCGACGAUCCCUAGCUGGUCUGAGAGGAUGACCAGCCACACUGGAACUGAGACACGGUCCAG
RNAcentral lists this ribosomal RNA (239 nucleotides) under uncultured bacterium. RNAcentral describes it as "partial 16S ribosomal RNA". It matches the Rfam family "Bacterial small subunit ribosomal RNA", at positions 92 to 334 of the family's 1533-position model. The record is from RNAcentral.